ACAAAUGCCAAAUAAAUUCAAUUAAAUCAAAAUAAGGAAGAAAUCGAAUUCUACCCUAUUUCACACGUCUAAACCGUUUCUCCCCUCUCUCCUCACUCCCUAAAUCUCUCCCACAUCUUUAACUACCUCUCCCUUUAAUUUAAAUCACCAAAACAGUUUAUCUUCUUUCUUCUAUCCGUUCUGUGCAACAAAGAAAACAAGCAUUCAUUCUUUCAACUUCUACUCAAGAAACUGAGAAAAGCCAAAUUUAGGAGAGAAGGCCCUACGUCGUUUCGUCCUUGUUUCAUUCACAAUCGGUGAAUCAUCGCAAGGGAAUCGUGAUCGCAAGGGAAAGAACAUAAUUUCAAAUUAAGCACUCGAGGUUGAGCGGCGACGAGCAAUUGGUGGUUAGUUGUGAUCUACGAGUGUCGUUGUGUCUCCACACAUGACGUCACUCUUUCUCUUGAACCCUUCCGCUGAGACAUUGUUUUUACUCAUCAAUCUUUUAGCUUUGAACCUAAUUUAUUUGGAUAAUGUCAACCUCUUGGCCCAUUUUUAUUAAAUAUUAAUUAUUGGUCAAACUCAUUAUUGAAACCCUAGUUUCCUUCGUCUGUUUACUAAGUUCUUCUAAUCACGAUCGCCCGUAUUUAUUAACCCCAAAGGGCGGUCGUGACAGUUUGGUAUCAGAGCCUCAGUUUCUUUCUGCUCUGGACCCAAGAGUCUUUUGGAGUCAAAAUCUAUCAUUGCAUUAAUUGGCUAAAGUGUUAAACAUCGAAGGCUCAACACCACAACUCGUCACGCCCAACCACGAAAGAAGAGGUAAGAAUAUUUUGGCGACUUUUAAAUGAUUUACCGAAAUUUUGAAAUUCGAUGGGAAAAUGGUCUCCUUGUGAAAAUGGCAAUUUUUGGGCCUAUUGGAAAUUAAAGCUUGCAUUGAUAUGAUAUUCUGGAGGACAAUAGAAUGGUUCAAUGACCGGUCAAUUGCAUCAACACAGUGUGCCACACCACUUACCCCGUGGGCGCAUGAAAAGGUAUGCAAAAAUGAUGCAAAAGGUCAAUUACAUAAUGUGAGAGCACCCAACACAAUUGCAGGCCAUUAUGUGGUUCAAACAAAGCGUCGAAUUGGUGGAAAGGGCGCUAAUAAGUGGAAGGUAAAGUACUUGGAGUCGCACUGCAAAUGUCAAAAGUGGCAGAUGUGGAGACUUCCAUGUUCACAUGCAGCGGCAGUUGCGCGGUUUAGAAACGACAACAUGUUGUCGCUUGUUGAUCACGUAUACCGCACAAGUGUUUGGGUACACCAAUAUUCUACGGUGUUCAAUCCACCCAGACACCAAGAUUAUUGGGUCGUGCCUGAAUGGACUUUGCAAUGUUCACGAGCUCAG
Salvia splendens (bonfire salvia) is the source of this 1361-nucleotide long non-coding RNA. RefSeq lists it as uncharacterized. The record is from RefSeq and is a predicted model, not a curated record. Lineage: Eukaryota; Viridiplantae; Streptophyta; Magnoliopsida; Lamiales; Lamiaceae. The transcript is spliced from 4 exons.